This is a long non-coding RNA of Coregonus clupeaformis (lake whitefish), 207 nucleotides long. RefSeq lists it as uncharacterized. The record is from RefSeq and is a predicted model, not a curated record. The transcript is spliced from 3 exons. NCBI's taxonomy places the organism in Eukaryota, Metazoa, Chordata, Actinopteri, Salmoniformes, Salmonidae.
UGUUGGAUGUUGCUGUUCAGUCUGUGUCCUGUGUCUGCUCUCCUCUCCUCCCUCCUCUCCUCUUUCUGUGUCUACUCCUUCUGCAGAACAACAGCUGCAGCUGAGACUCAGGUUCCUCUGAACAGGACUACCACCAGGGGAAGUGAGAGAAGAGAGAAGGAGGAAGGAGAUCUGUGUUAUGCCUCGUUGGAUAUCCGUCAGGGACAG